This 235-nucleotide ribosomal RNA is filed under the name uncultured bacterium. RNAcentral describes it as "partial 16S ribosomal RNA". It matches the Rfam family "Bacterial small subunit ribosomal RNA", at positions 118 to 350 of the family's 1533-position model. The record is from RNAcentral.
UGAGUAACCUGCCCUUCACUCUGGGAUAACUCCGGGAAAACCGGGGCUAAUACUGGAUAUGACUCGAACAGGCAUCUGUUUCGGGUGGAAAGAUUUAUUGAUGGAGGAUGGACUCGCGGCCUAUCAGCUUGUCGGUGAGGUAAUGGCUCACCAAGGCGACGACGGGUAGCCGGCCUGAGAGGGCGAUCGGCCACACUGGGACUGAGACACGGCCCAGACCUCCGUACGGGAGGNA